UGGGGAAUAUUGCGCAAUGGGGGAAACCCUGACGCAGCAACGCCGCGUGGGUGAUGAAGGUUUUCGGAUCGUAAAACCCUGUUUUCUGGGACGAUAAUGACGGUACCAGAUGAGGAAGCCACGGCUAACUACGUGCCAGCAGCCGCGGUAAUACGUAGGUGUCAAGCGUUGUCCGGAUUUACUGGGCGUAAAGGGUGCGUAGGCGGAUGCUUAAGUGAGAUGUGAAAUACCUAGGCUUAACUUAGGGGCUGCAUUUCAAACUGGGCAUCUAGAGUACAGGAGAGGGAAACGGAAUUCCUAGUGUAGCGGUGAAAUGCGUAGAGAUUAGGAAGAACACCAGUGGCGAAGGCGGUUUCCUGGACUGUAACUGACGCUGAGGCACGAAAGCGUGGGUAGCAAACAGGAUUAGAUACCCUGGUA
Molecule: ribosomal RNA, 420 nt
Filed under: uncultured bacterium
Lineage: Bacteria
Description: bacterial SSU rRNA
Rfam family: Bacterial small subunit ribosomal RNA
Source: RNAcentral